RNAcentral lists this ribosomal RNA (263 nucleotides) under uncultured bacterium. RNAcentral describes it as "partial 16S ribosomal RNA". It matches the Rfam family "Bacterial small subunit ribosomal RNA", at positions 793 to 1055 of the family's 1533-position model. The record is from RNAcentral.
GUCCACGCCGUAAACGAUGAUUGCUAGCCGUUGGGCAGCUUGCUGUUCAGUGGCGCAGCUAACGCAUUAAGCAAUCCGCCUGGGGAGUACGGCCGCAAGGUUGAAACUCAAAGGAAUUGACGGGGGCCCCGCACAAGCGGUGGAGCAUGUGGUUUAAUUCGACGCAACGCGCAGAACCUUACCAGGGUUUGACAUCCUACGACCGCUCCUUAAUGGGAGUUUUCCCGCAAGGGACGUAGAGACAGGUGCUGCAUGGCUGUCGU